CGCCGGGCCGCUUCCCGCUGUGGAGAUGCGGCCCGAGGGGGUUUGAUGACGCUCGAACAGGCAUGCCCGCCGGAAUACCAGCGGGCGCAAUGUGCGUUCAAAGAUUCGAUGAUUCGUUGAAUUCUGCAAUUCACAUUACUUAUCGCAUUUCGCUGCGUUC
This 160-nucleotide ribosomal RNA is filed under the name Zalerion sp. MH630. RNAcentral's name for it is "Lulwoana sp. MH630 5.8S ribosomal RNA". The record is from RNAcentral. Lineage: Eukaryota; Fungi; Ascomycota; Sordariomycetes; Lulworthiales; Lulworthiaceae.